RNAcentral lists this ribosomal RNA (391 nucleotides) under Lepus saharae. RNAcentral describes it as "partial 12S ribosomal RNA". It matches the Rfam family "Bacterial small subunit ribosomal RNA", at positions 791 to 1384 of the family's 1533-position model. Lineage: Eukaryota; Metazoa; Chordata; Mammalia; Lagomorpha; Leporidae. The record is from RNAcentral.
UAUGCUUAGCCUUAAACCUAAAUAAUUUUUUAACAAAAUUAUUCGCCAGAGAACUACAAGCCAGAGCUUAAAACUCAAAGGACUUGGCGGUGCUUUAUACCCGCCUAGAGGAGCCUGUUCUAUAAUCGAUAAACCCCGAUAAACCUUACCACUCUUUGCCAACUCAGCCUAUAUACCGCCAUCUUCAGCAAACCCUAAAAAGGGACAAAAGUAAGCUCAAUCAUCACCAUAAAAACGUUAGGUCAAGGUGUAGCCUAUAGAGUGGAAAGCAAUGGGCUACAUUUUCUACUUUAGAACACACGAAAGCCCCUAUGAAACUCUAGAGACCAAAGGAGGAUUUAGCAGUAAAUUAAGAAUAGAGUGCUUAAUUGAACAAGGCCAUGAAGCACGC